This 248-nucleotide ribosomal RNA is filed under the name uncultured bacterium. Its description in RNAcentral is "partial 16S ribosomal RNA". It matches the Rfam family "Bacterial small subunit ribosomal RNA", at positions 57 to 305 of the family's 1533-position model. The record is from RNAcentral.
GCAAGUCGAGGGAGAGCUUUAGCUUCGGCUAAAAGGAAACCGGCGCACGGGUGAGUAACGCGUACACAACCUACCCUUAACAGGGGGAUAGCCUCGUGAAACUGAGAUUAAUACCCCAUAAUAUUGACAGAUUGCAUAUGAAUUCAAUUAAAGCUCCGGCGGUUAAAGAUGGGUGUGCGUCCCAUUAGCUAGAUGGUGAGGUAACGGCUCACCAAGCGACGAUGGGUAGGGGGCGUGAGAGCGAGAUC